Molecule: long non-coding RNA, 1242 nt
Organism: Cervus elaphus (red deer)
Lineage: Eukaryota; Metazoa; Chordata; Mammalia; Artiodactyla; Cervidae
Exons: 3
Source: RefSeq, a predicted model, not a curated record
AUUAAUUACUUUUUUGGAAAACAAACUAUUUUAGAAAUAUUUAUCUUCAUUAAAUAGAUACAGAAAAUAGAUCUGGAUAAUAGUGUAAAAGAGAAAAUGAAUGUUACCCAUUAAUUCCUCUGCCCAGUUUUCUUUGUAUGUUUGCUUGUAUGUGUGUGUGUAUACACUUUUAUAAACACUGUGUAAGUGCACACACACACAGAGACACAUAUGUUCAAGAGUAGCAAGACUAAAUGUAUUCAGGGACAUAGAUUAAUUGGAUAUGGUAAUAAUACCACAAGAUGGGAAGAUGUUCUCUAACGUCCUAUUAUAUUAACUUAUUAUAAUUUUCUCAAAACAAACAAACAAGAAAACCCACUCUGAAUUGAACUCCUCAAUCUAUAUAACUUAUUCACAUACUUUUGACAGUUUUGUUUUUGAAGGACAUAAUUUUUCUCCUUUUGAAAAAUGGGAAGGCAUAGGACAUUUCCCCCAACUUCCUUUAAAUGUAUAUAUGUGUUCUUUUGCAUCAUAUACAAACUUAGAAAACAGAGAUCAUAAAGGAAAUACAUGCUUUUCUAGUUUUCAGUUACAAUUAUGUAUUCACAUUUUCCAUGGCAUUAAAGUUUUUAAAUGGAUUACAGUAAUUUAAAACAAUGAUGUAAUAAUUGUAUAAAGCUUACUGUGUGCUAAGCACUGUUUUAAGUGCUUCACAUAUAUUAAAGGUAUUUAAUCUUCAUAAAAAGUCUGUGAUACAGAUUCUGCUCUUACCCCUGUUUUGCAGAUAAGAGACAGCUGAGGCCCUGACAGGGUGCCUGGCCUGCCCAGGGUCCCACAGUUAGUGAACGUCAUAGGUGGACUGUGACUUCGGAGGUCUGGCUCCAGAGUCUGUGUUCUUGUUAGUUGUCUUUCUGUUUAUGGUUUGCUAUGCAGAAGUUUCUGGGUGUCUCCUGAGGAGGAUUUAGCCAAAAAGAAGACAGCACUCAGUCGUGUCUGACUCUUGCGAUCCCAUAAACCAUAGCCUGCCAGGCUCCCCUGUCCAUGGGAUUCUCCAGGCAAGAAUACUGGAGUGAGUUGCCAUUUCCUUCUCCAGGGGAUCUUCCCAACCCAGGAACUGAACCCAGGUCUCCCGCGUUGCAGGCAGAUGCUUUACCGACUGAGCUAUGCGGGAAGUCCAGGGUUUAGCCAAGGACCGUGAUAAAUUCCAAUUGGGGGCGGGGAGUCGGGGGAGAAAAACUUCCUAAUGGAUAGUUUUCUUCUACU